UUAUUUAUUUUUGGCUUCACCAUGCCACUUGCAGGAUCUUUGUUCCCUGACUAGGGAUUGAACCGGGGCCCUCACCAGUGAAAGUGUGGAAUCAUAACCACUGGAUUGCCAGGGAAUUCCCUGUGUGUGUGU
Aethalodelphis obliquidens (Pacific white-sided dolphin) is the source of this 132-nucleotide long non-coding RNA. RefSeq lists it as uncharacterized. The record is from RefSeq and is a predicted model, not a curated record. The transcript has 3 exons. NCBI's taxonomy places the organism in Eukaryota, Metazoa, Chordata, Mammalia, Artiodactyla, Delphinidae.